GGUUCGAUGGUGUAGUUGGUUAUCACGUCUGUCUCACACUUGGGGUACAGGGUUGUGCGCACAGGAGGUCUCCGGUUCGAACCCGGGUCGAAUCA
This is a non-coding RNA of Lentinus tigrinus ALCF2SS1-7, 95 nucleotides long. The record is from the annotation of a GenBank genome assembly. Lineage: Eukaryota; Fungi; Basidiomycota; Agaricomycetes; Polyporales; Polyporaceae.